GAUGAACGCUGGCGGCGUGCCUAACACAUGCAAGUCGAACGGAAAGGCGAUGCUCUUGCGGGGUGCUCGUGUGGCGAACGGGUGAGUAACACGCGUGUAUACUGCACUUGUAUUUGGGAUAAAAUCAGGGAAAAGGGGCUCAUACCGCAUAGGAGCUUUUGCAGCACGGGGGGCGUAGGAAAGAGUCGGCGGUUGGGGAUGGAGUGGAGGCUUAUCAGCUUGAUAGUGUGGUAGUGAAUUACCCAGCUUUCGAAGGGUAGCCCGCAUGAGAGGGUGACCGGCCACAAUGGGACUGCGGGACGGCCCAGACUGCAACGGGAGGCAGCAGGGGAGAGCAUUGCGCAAUGGGCGGAAGCGUGAUGCGGCAGCCCCGCGUGCGGGAUGACGGCCUUCGGGGUGUGAACCGAUUUCGCCUGAGACGAGGAGUGAGUGACGGUAAUGGGUAAAGAAGCACCGGCUAACUACGUG
Molecule: ribosomal RNA, 468 nt
Filed under: uncultured bacterium
Lineage: Bacteria
Description: partial 16S ribosomal RNA
Rfam family: Bacterial small subunit ribosomal RNA
Source: RNAcentral